Molecule: ribosomal RNA, 301 nt
Filed under: uncultured bacterium
Lineage: Bacteria
Description: partial 16S ribosomal RNA
Rfam family: Bacterial small subunit ribosomal RNA
Source: RNAcentral
CAGCAGCCACGGGAAUACGGAGGGUGCAAGCGUUAUCCGGAUUUAUUGGGCGUAAAGCGUGCGCAGGCGGUUAUAUAAGACAGAUGUGAAAUCCCCGGGCUCAACCUGGGAACUGCAUUUGUGACUGUAUAGCUAGAGUACGGCAGAGGGGGAUGGAAUUCCGCGUGUAGCAGUGAAAUGCGUAGAUAUGCGGAGGAACACCGAUGGCGAAGGCAAUCCCCUGGGCCUGUACUGACGCUCAUGCACGAAAGCGUGGGGAGCAAACAGGAUUAGAUACCCCGGUAGUCCCUGUCUCUUAUAC